Molecule: long non-coding RNA, 338 nt
Organism: Chroicocephalus ridibundus (black-headed gull)
Lineage: Eukaryota; Metazoa; Chordata; Aves; Charadriiformes; Laridae
Exons: 3
Source: RefSeq, a predicted model, not a curated record
UGCAGGCGGAGCGGGAAGGCGCAGCAGACGGAAGGCAGGAGGCUGGAGUAUAAAGCCGCGGAGUCGAGGCCGGCUCAGUCCGUCCCCGCUCAGCUGCUGGCAGGGCUGAGGCGCCGAGCCAUGGCCGAGCUGCCGCGCAAGCGACAGAGUUGGUCCAAGACUGGAUUCUCCAAACAGCUGCAGUCUCACUUAUGGAAAAAGAAGCUAGCAACAUUACAUGUCUUGUGAUGAGAAAACGGUAACAUUUUGCUGUAGAACACAUCUUGACACUUUUUUGAAAGAUGACUAUCUGUGAAAACUCACUAGUGGUCAUGACAAGGCUUUCUGCUUGCCACCCC